RNAcentral lists this ribosomal RNA (253 nucleotides) under uncultured bacterium. RNAcentral describes it as "partial 16S ribosomal RNA". It matches the Rfam family "Bacterial small subunit ribosomal RNA", at positions 524 to 776 of the family's 1533-position model. The record is from RNAcentral.
UACGUAGGGUGCGAGCGUUGUCCGGAAUUAUUGGGCGUAAAGAGCUCGUAGGCGGUCCGCCGCGCCGGUCGUGAAAUCUCGGGGCUCAACCCCGGGUCUGCGGUCGAUACGGGCGGACUUGAGUGCGGUAGGGGAGACCGGAAUUCCUGGUGUAGCGGUGGAAUGCGCAGAUAUCAGGAGGAACACCGAUGGCGAAGGCAGGUCUCUGGGCCGUUACUGACGCUGAGGAGCGAAAGCGUGGGGAGCGAACAGG